RNAcentral lists this ribosomal RNA (552 nucleotides) under uncultured Acidobacteriota bacterium. RNAcentral's name for it is "bacterial SSU rRNA". It matches the Rfam family "Bacterial small subunit ribosomal RNA", at positions 37 to 587 of the family's 1533-position model. The record is from RNAcentral. Lineage: Bacteria; Pseudomonadati; Acidobacteriota.
GGGCGGCGUGCCUUACACAUGCAAGUCGAGCGAGGCGGCCCGCAAGGGGUCAGUCGAGCGGCGAACGGGUGAGUAACGCGUGGAUAACCUGCCCAGAGGUGGGGGAUAACCCGGGGAAACUCGGGCUAAUACCGCAUGAUACCGAAAGGUCAAAGGGGGCUCGCAAGGGCUCUCGCCAUAGGAGGGGUCCGCGUCCGAUUAGCUAGUUGGUAGGGUAAUGGCCUACCAAGGCGACGAUCGGUAGCCGGCCUGAGAGGGUGAUCGGCCACACUGGAACUGAGACACGGUCCAGACUCCUACGGGAGGCAGCAGUGGGGAAUUUUGCGCAAUGGGCUAACGCCUGACGCAGCAACGCCGCGUGGAGGAUGAAGGUCUUUGGAUUGUAAACUCCUGUCAGCAGGGAAAAAGCGAAUCGGCCUAACACGCCGGUGAGUUGAUUGUACCUGCAGAGGAAGCCCCGGCUAACUCUGUGCCAGCAGCCGCGGUAAUACAGAGGGGGCAAGCGUUAUUCGGAAUUAUUGGGCGUAAAGGGCGCGUAGGCGGCUUCGCAAG